GACGAACGCUGACGGCGUGCUUAACACAUGCAAGUCGAACGGUGAAGCGCCUUCCUUUUUGGUGGGUGUGGAUGAGUGGCGAACGGGUGAGUAACACGUGAGUAACCUGCCCCCUUCUUCUGGAUAACCGCAUGAAAGUGUGGCUAAUACGGGAUAUUCUGGGUCUGUCGCAUGAUGGGUCUGGGAAAGAUAUUGUUUCGGUGGGGGAUGGGCUCGCGGCCUAUCAGCUUGUUGGUGGGGUGAUGGCCUACCAAGGCGGUGACGGGUAGCCGGCCUGAGAGGUGGGCGGGGCCACCGGGGAGCGGGACCCGGCCCAGCUCCUUCGGGGGGGGAGCGGGGGGGAAUUUUGCCCAAUGGGGGCAAGCCGGAUGCGGGGGCGCCGGGUGAGGGAUGGGGGCCUUCGGGUUGUGACCCUUUUUCGCCAGGGAAGCAGGCCUGCCUCGUUUGGGGGGGGGUUGACGGUAGCUGGAUAAGAAGCCCCGGCUAACUACGU
This 493-nucleotide ribosomal RNA is filed under the name uncultured bacterium. RNAcentral's name for it is "partial 16S ribosomal RNA". It matches the Rfam family "Bacterial small subunit ribosomal RNA", at positions 28 to 506 of the family's 1533-position model. The record is from RNAcentral.